CCUGUAUCAGACCAUCUGGAAGCACAAGUGACCACAUUCUGGUCAUAACUCAAGACUUUGAUCAUAAGUUAAAACCAAAAUGUUGGUCAUUACCCAAGUUGUUCAUAUGUCAGGCCAGUCAUAACUUAAGGGUCUACUGGACUCUGAUAAAGGAUAUCAAAAAGGACAUUAGAAAAUGGAAAAAUAUCUCCUGUUCUUGGAAAGACAAAACCAAUACAAUGGUGCUUCAGUUCACGAACUUAGUUCUUUCCAUGAUUCUGGUCAAAAAUUGAAUUGGAGGAGAACUGAAUCAAAUUCAAUGGUUAGCUUCAAUGUUGACCUUAUGCAGAAAUUUGAUCAAGAAAAUCAAAGAAAUAAAAGAUAAUGACUGAUUGCCUUGAACCCACUCUGAUAGAAGACCUCAAGCUGUGCAACAGCUCCCCUCCACAAGAGGCUCAGAUCAGUCACUAGGAACCUGACAUGUGUCACAUGGGUCAAGACUUGCCCAUGUGCUAACUACCAAAAAAUGAAGAUAUCCUCCAGUUCUCAGAGAUUGCCCUGAUGCUUAAGGAACAGGAACUUGAUGAGAUGGGAAGCUAGGCAACUAAUAACCAAAAAAUAAGCUUUAUGGAGACCUCCUGAACUCCAUCAGCACAGCUUGAGGAGGAACACAUGUCUUCCAACACACAGACCAUCACCUGUGUGAACUUGGGGCAGGCCCUCUACCACCUGUGGAAGGAAGUCAUUUUUGACUCUGUGAAGGAGUGAGGACCCCAAGCAACCCACCAAGAACCACCAUCAGCCAUUACUAAAGAGAAGACAUGGCUUUUGUGGCUUUUUCCUCUCAGGACAUUUUGCUCUUACUGGAGGUGUCUGUUAGGCAUCACUCUCCUCAGCCUUCUUUCCUGGACCACUAUCAUGAAGACUGCUUGUUGACAAAGAGUGCCCUCAGUAUAAGAUUGUUUGUAGAAUUUGAGUGUUUGGAAGGUAUAUAAAAACUCUCAUUGGUGACCAAAGCAUGCUGUUUGCCAUGCAUGUUUGAAG
Molecule: long non-coding RNA, 1023 nt
Filed under: Heterocephalus glaber (naked mole-rat)
Lineage: Eukaryota; Metazoa; Chordata; Mammalia; Rodentia; Bathyergidae
Description: lncRNA (ENSHGLG00100050137.1)
Source: RNAcentral